This 873-nucleotide long non-coding RNA is filed under the name Canis lupus familiaris (dog). RNAcentral describes it as "lncRNA (ENSCAFG00000045064.2)". Lineage: Eukaryota; Metazoa; Chordata; Mammalia; Carnivora; Canidae. The record is from RNAcentral.
UGGAAGCUCCCAAGUUUUCUUUUAUUAUUAUUUUUUUUUAGAUUUAUUUAUUUAUUCAUGAGACACAGAGAGAGAGAGAGAGGCAGAGACACAGGCAGAGGGAGAAGCAGGCUCCCCGCGGGGUGCCCGGUGCGGGACUCGAUCCUGGAUCCCGGGAUCACGCCCUGAGCCGAAGGCAGGCGCCCAAACGCUGAGCCACCCAGGCGCCCCGGCUCCCAGGUUUUCAAACAGGCUUUCUUUUCUUUCUUUUUUUUUUUUUUUGUAUAUUUUUGUAUUGAUUUUUUUUUUUUUUAUUGGAGUUUGCUUUGCCAACAUCUAGUAUCACACGGAGGGCUCCUCCCGUCCAGUGCCCCCCGCAGUGCCCGUCCCCCGUCCCCGCCGCCCUUCCCCUUGUUCAUCUCCCAGCUUAGGAGUCUCGGGGUCUCACACAGGCUUUGGGGGGCGGGGGGCAGCGGCCGGGCUGCGAGAGGCGCGGGGACCCGGAGCUCCGCGGCCGGGGAGCAGCGCACGCGCACGCGCAGGCUGCGAGCGGCUCCCGCCGGCUCCUCCCGCGGCGGUCGGUCCGGGGACGUUCUCCCCGCCGCGGGGGCGACUGUGACCCCCGGCGGAGGCCCGGGCGGGCCGGGUCCCGAUCGGUGCUGGCGGACGUCACCCUGCCAGGUUCGGUGGUUCUGCAGACUCUAGCAUUGUAUCCUGUAAUGGGACUUCCUGUUGAGUGCUCCCCCACAUCCAACACCAAGGCCACUGAACGCCUCUUUACCAACAUGCCGGUGAGUUGUGUGGAAUUUGGACAGCCAGUGCCUUUUCUCUGCUUCUUGGGAGGCAAUUAGGGUUGGUCACUCUGUACCAGGGAGAAUUAGCCUUAGUAUUCAG